UGGGGAAUAGCUCAGGGGGAGAGUGUGUGCUUAGCAUGCAUGAAGUCCUGGGUUCAAUCCCCAGUACCUCCU
Molecule: transfer RNA, 72 nt
Filed under: Camelus bactrianus (Bactrian camel)
Lineage: Eukaryota; Metazoa; Chordata; Mammalia; Artiodactyla; Camelidae
Also listed under: 2 other names
Rfam family: tRNA
About the family: Transfer RNA (tRNA) molecules are approximately 80 nucleotides in length. Their secondary structure includes four short double-helical elements and three loops (D, anti-codon, and T loops). Further hydrogen bonds mediate the characteristic L-shaped molecular structure. tRNAs have two regions of fundamental functional importance: the anti-codon, which is responsible for specific mRNA codon recognition, and the 3' end, to which the tRNAs corresponding amino acid is attached (by aminoacyl-tRNA synthetases). tRNAs cope with the degeneracy of the genetic code in two manners: having more than one tRNA (with a specific anti-codon) for a particular amino acid; and 'wobble' base-pairing, i.e. permitting non-standard base-pairing at the 3rd anti-codon position.
Source: Rfam by way of RNAcentral